AGGGCGCAUGGCGGAUGCCUUGGCGCUAGGAGCCGAUGAAGGGCGUGGCAAGCGACGAUAUGCCUCGGGUAGCCGCAAGCAGGCUUUGAUCCGGGGAUGCCCGAAUGGGGAAACCCACUGGGGAUAAUGCCCCAGUAUCCUCAUCUGAAGUAAGUAGGGUGAGGAGGGGAACCGCGGGAACUGAAACAUCUAAGUACCGCGAGGAAAAGAAAGAAAUCUCGAUUCCCUGAGUAGCGGCGAGCGAAACGGGAAGAGCCCAAACCGGUAGCGUGUAAUAGUCUGCAGGCGUUGCGUUACCGGGGUUGUAGGAGCCGUUCGUAGGGUAUCUGCAGGUACUCUAAAUACGGGAUAAGUUUUAGCUGAAGCGGUCUGGAAAGGCCCACCACAGACGGUGACAGUCCGGUAAGCGAAAAGGCUUAUGCUGUAUUAGGAUGGCAUCCUGAGUACCACGGGGCACGUGAAACCCUGUGGGAAACCGGGAGGACCACCUCCCAAGGCUAAAUACUACCUAGCGACCGAUAGUGAACUAGUACCGUGAGGGAAAGGUGAAAAGAACCCCGGGAGGGGAGUGAAAUAGAACCUGAAACCAUGUGCCUACAAAAAGUGGGAGGACCAUCGGGUGCAUUAAUGCAUGACUGGGUCUGACCGCGUACUUCUUGCAGAACGGACCGGCGAGUUACAGUAUGUGGCGAGGUUAAGCGGUAGACGCGGAGCCGUAGCGAAAGCGAGUCUUAAAAGGGCGUAGACUAUUGUCUAAAGUCGCAUAUUGUAGACCCGAAACCGGGUGAGCUACCCAUGGCCAGGGUGAAGCGGAGCUAAUCCCCCGUGGAGGCCCGAACCACGUUGACGUUGAAAAGUCAUGGGAUGAGCUGUGGGUAGGGGUGAAAAGCCAAUCGAACCCGGAGAUAGCUGGUUCUCUCCGAAAUAGCUUUAGGGCUAGCCUCGGGAGUUUACUUAUGGAGGUAGAGCACUGAUCGGGCUAGGGGGCCUGAAAGCUUACCGAACCCUUUCAAACUCCGAAUGCCAUAAGUUAAGAUCCCGGGAGUCAGACUGCGUGCACUAAGGUUUGUAGUCGAGAGGGAAAUAGCCCAGACCCAAAGUUAAGGUCCCAAAGUAUAGGCUAAGUGGGAAAGGAUGUGGGGUUGCCCAGACAGCCAGGAUGUUGGCUUAGAAGCAGCCAUUCAUUUAAAGAGUGCGUAAUAGCUCACUGGUCAAGUGAUCCUGCGCCGAAGAUCCAACGGGGCUUAAGCCUAUCACCGAAGCUUGGGUAGCAGUCUAUUAGGCUGCUAGGUAGGAGAGCGUUCCCUGGCGAGCGAAGUAAGACCGUAAGGACUUAUGGACGGCAGGGAAGUGAGAAUGCCGGUAUGAGUAGCGAUAAGGCAGGUGAGAAUCCUGCCCGCCGAAAACCUAAGGUUUCCUGAGGAAGGGUCGUCCGCUCAGGGUAAGUCGGGACCUAAGCUGAGGGCGAAAGCCGUAGGCGAUGGACAAUCGGUUGAUAUUCCGAUACCACCCUGGAACCGCCCAUGGGAAUCACAGGCCUUGUGUUAUGGCCUCGGCCAUGGCAAUAGGCUUAUGAGGACCAAGCGAUGGGGUGACGCAGAAGGGUAGGCCAUCAGGCGACUGGAAGUGCCUGUCUAAGGGUGUAGGAGGUGGCAUAGGCAAAUCCGUGCCACAAGUACUCCGAGGCCUAAUGGGGACGUGAAAUUGUAGUAACGGAACUGGCUGACCCCAUGCUGCCAAGAAAAGCCUCUAGCGAGGGGCCGGGGUGCCCGUACCGCAAACCGACACAGGUAGGUGGGGUGAGAAUCCUAAGGCGCGCGAGAGAACUCUCGUUAAGGAACUCGGCAAAUUGACCCUGUAACUUUGGAAGAAAGGGUGCCCUGAUAGUGUGAUAUAGGUAUACCUUAUAUUGCAUGAGAGGGCCGCAGAGAAAUGGCCCAAGCGACUGUUUAUCAAAAACACAGGUCUCUGCUAAGUCGAAAGACGAUGUAUAGGGGCUGACGCCUGCCCAGUGCCGGAAGGUUAAGGGGAAGGGUUAGCGCAAGCGAAGCUCUGAACCGAAGCCCCGGUGAACGGCGGCCGUAACUAUAACGGUCCUAAGGUAGCGAAAUUCCUUGUCGGGUAAGUUCCGACCCGCACGAAUGGCGUAACGACUUGGGCGCUGUCUCAACGAGAGGCUCGGCGAAAUUAUAAAUACCCGUGAAGAUGCGGGUUACCCGCGACAAGACGGAAAGACCCCGUGGAGCUUUACUGUAGCCUGAGAUUGGAUUUUGGUGCGUUAUGUACAGGAUAGGUGGGAGGCUGAGAAAGGGUGACGCCAGUUGCCCUGGAGCCACCG
This 2338-nucleotide ribosomal RNA is filed under the name bioreactor metagenome. Its description in RNAcentral is "bacterial LSU rRNA". It matches the Rfam family "Bacterial large subunit ribosomal RNA", at positions 14 to 2191 of the family's 2925-position model. The record is from RNAcentral.